This 58-nucleotide transfer RNA is filed under the name Ailuropoda melanoleuca (giant panda). It matches the Rfam family "tRNA", at positions 8 to 63 of the family's 71-position model. From Rfam's summary of the family: Transfer RNA (tRNA) molecules are approximately 80 nucleotides in length. Their secondary structure includes four short double-helical elements and three loops (D, anti-codon, and T loops). Lineage: Eukaryota; Metazoa; Chordata; Mammalia; Carnivora; Ursidae. The record is from Rfam by way of RNAcentral.
UGGCUGACUUAGUAGAGCACAUGACUCUUAAUCUUGGGGCCGUGAGUUCAAACCUCAC